UCCCGGACUGGGGCACGAACCCGUGUCCCCUGCAUCGGCAGGUGGACUCUCAACCACUGCACCACAAGGGAAGCCCAGUUUCUGCACUUUUGAUGUGACAGGGUAGACACUCUUUUGGCUGUAGUGCCCAAACUUUUUAAUCUUUUUCUGGGUCUGUCUUUCAUCCUUGCCCAACCUGGAAUUUUGAGAAAUGAAGCUUUAGUGACUCACGCAAGAAAGGAGGUCAGAGACAAGAGUGCCACCCUGUGGCAAGAGCCUGGCAUUACCAUCCAGAAAGCCGCUGGUGAGGAUAAGAACUGAGUGACUUCUGUCUGUGGUAACAGGAUGUUGAUAGCUACAUCCUACUGAGCCUUUCUUAUAUGUCGGGCACUGUGCCAAGUCUUCCUCAUAGAUUAGUUUAUUUGAAGCAGGUACUAUUGUUACCCCCAUGUUGCAGAGGUAGAGAGGGAUGAGGUGAUUUGAUCAGGCUCCCUCAGAGGUGAAGGCUGGAGCUGGGAGGGAACUCAGGGCAGCCUGGCUCUAGAGCAAACAAUUAUAACAGUUUUGAUAUAUUUCCUCUGUAGCAAAAGAAGGAGGCCUUUCUGGUAUGGACCCCCAAAUUUUCGACUAUUUUUAGACCUGUGCUAUUUUGUUUACUGGAGCCGGGCAGUCAGAGACCUGGGUUCUGGCAUGAGCGCCCCUCUCUUCUACCCAGGGAGUUGCAGUCCCCAGUGUUCCUCUGGCCAAGCACACUGCAUGGGAGGAAUCCAUCUGUCUCCCUGACUUGCUCCCAGUCAGUAAUACCAGCUAGGAAGUGCCUUGGCCCUGACAUCUCAGCUGGAGGCUGCCAAGCAGAGGGGCCAGAGCUAAAUCCCAGUAUAAUGUACUGAAGGUCCAUCCAUGUUGUUGCAAGUGGCAGGAUAUCCUCCUUUCUCAAGAACACUCUGGCAAGCUGACCUGGGCAACGUGGACCAACCCUUUUACACAGACUACUAUGGAAAUGGAGUGGAGUAUGGGUCCUGCUUUGCCUAUGUGGUCCCUCAGUGUGAAGACUGAAGGCUGAGUUCUUAUCGUCGAGAAGGAAGGCUGAUUCAUUCCAUCCCUCCAGAGCCGGAAGACUUACAAGAAGAGCUGGUGUAGAAAGACAGUGCCUGGUACCAGGCUGGCUUAGUCCUGUGCCAGGGCUGGUGCCAUGUGGGAGAGGAGGCAGGAGGUGAGGAGAGGGGCUGGAUCUCAGCUCCAGUCUCCUUACCUCUCUCACCUCCUACUACAGGGUGUCUCUACCCUUCAGCCCAAUAGUGUUCACAGAUCUGACCAGUCCAUGGAGAUUCCUUCUUCCUGGGCAAGUGAGGAAGACGGUGGCACGGGGAAAGGGACCUUGAAUAUUAAUUAAUUAAUUCAAGGCAACAUAUUAAUUAAUUAAAUUAAAAAUUGCAAUGAACAUC
Molecule: long non-coding RNA, 1424 nt
Organism: Aethalodelphis obliquidens (Pacific white-sided dolphin)
Lineage: Eukaryota; Metazoa; Chordata; Mammalia; Artiodactyla; Delphinidae
Exons: 4
Source: RefSeq, a predicted model, not a curated record